This 501-nucleotide ribosomal RNA is filed under the name uncultured bacterium. RNAcentral's name for it is "partial 16S ribosomal RNA". It matches the Rfam family "Bacterial small subunit ribosomal RNA", at positions 30 to 523 of the family's 1533-position model. The record is from RNAcentral.
AUUGAACGCUGGCGGCAGGCUUAACACAUGCAAGUCGAGCGGAGAUGAGGUGCUUGCACCUUAUCUUAGCGGCGGACGGGUGAGUAAUGCUUAGGAAUCUGCCUAUUAGUGGGGGACAACAUUCCGAAAGGAAUGCUAAUACCGCAUACGUCCUACGGGAGAAAGCAGGGGAUCUUCGGACCUUGUGCUACUAGAUGAGCCUAAGUCGGAUUAGCUAGUCGGUGGGGUAAAGGCCGGCCAAGGCGACGAUCUGUAGCGGGUCUGAGAGGAUGAUCCGCCACACUGGGACUGAGACACGGCCCAGACUCCUACGGGAGGCAGCAGUGGGGAAUAUUGGACAAUGGGGGGAACCCUGAUCCAGCCAUGCCGCGUGUGUGAAGAAGGCCUUAUGGUUGUAAAGCACUUUAGGCGAGGAGGAGGCUACUGAGACUAAUACUCUUGGAUAGUGGACGUUACUCGCAGAAUAAGCACCGGCUAACUCUGUGCCAGCAGCCGCCGUAA